UACGUAGGGGGCAAGCGUUGUCCGGAAUCAUUGGGCGUAAAGCGCGUGUAGGCGGCUUGGUAAGUCCGCUCUGAAAGCCCGGGGCUCAACCCCGGGAGGCGGGGUGGAUACUGUCAAGCUCGAGUCCGAAAGAGGCGAGUGGAAUUCCUGGUGUAGCGGUGAAAUGCGCAGAUAUCAAGGAGGAACACCGGUGGCGAAGGCGGGUCUCUGGGCAGUAACUGACGCUGAGGAGCGAAAAGCGUGGGGGAGCGAAACAGGGA
RNAcentral lists this ribosomal RNA (260 nucleotides) under uncultured bacterium. RNAcentral's name for it is "partial 16S ribosomal RNA". It matches the Rfam family "Bacterial small subunit ribosomal RNA", at positions 524 to 778 of the family's 1533-position model. The record is from RNAcentral.